This 85-nucleotide transfer RNA is filed under the name Felis catus (domestic cat). It matches the Rfam family "tRNA". From Rfam's summary of the family: Transfer RNA (tRNA) molecules are approximately 80 nucleotides in length. Lineage: Eukaryota; Metazoa; Chordata; Mammalia; Carnivora; Felidae. The record is from Rfam by way of RNAcentral.
GCCUGGGUGGCUCAGUCGGUUGAGCAUCCGACUUCGGCUCAGGUCAUGAUCUCACAGCUCGUGGGUUCGAGCCCCACGUCGGGCU